This is a small nucleolar RNA of Thalassophryne amazonica, 82 nucleotides long. RefSeq annotates it as small nucleolar RNA SNORD74. The record is from RefSeq and is a predicted model, not a curated record. NCBI's taxonomy places the organism in Eukaryota, Metazoa, Chordata, Actinopteri, Batrachoidiformes, Batrachoididae. The transcript has a single exon.
CCCAUGUGCAUAUGAUGAAACAAAAUGUUGGUAGGGACAUCUGAAUAGUUGUGAAGAAUGCCAACAUUUCUGAUCACAUGGG